GAUGAACGCUAGCUACAGGCUUAACACAUGCAAGUCGAGGGGAAACGGCAUUAAGUGCUUGCACUUUUUGGACGUCGACCGGCGCACGGGUGAGUAACGCGUAUCCAACCUUCCCAUGACUAAGGGAUAACCUGCCGAAAGGCAGACUAAUACCUUAUGGUCUUCACUGACGGCAUCAGAUGUGAAGUAAAGAUUUAUCGGUUAUGGAUGGGGAUGCGUCUGAUUAGCUUGUUGGCGGGGUAACGGCCCACCAAGGCAACGAUCAGUAGGGGUUCUGAGAGUAAGGUCCCCCACAUUGGAACUAAGACACGGUCCAAAAUCGUAGGGAGGGGAGGAGAGUGUAGUAUUAGGCAAUGGGCGAGGGCCUGAACCAGCCAAGUAGCGUGAAGGAGGACGGCCCUAGGGGUUGUAAACUGCUUUUGUAUAGGGAUAAAGUCAAUCACGUGUGAUUGUUUGCAGGUACCAUACGAAUAAGGACCGGCUAAUUCCGUG
This 492-nucleotide ribosomal RNA is filed under the name uncultured bacterium. Its description in RNAcentral is "partial 16S ribosomal RNA". It matches the Rfam family "Bacterial small subunit ribosomal RNA", at positions 28 to 507 of the family's 1533-position model. The record is from RNAcentral.